CCAGCAUUGCUACUGUGUGUGUGUGUGUGUGUGUGUGUGUGUGUGUGCACGCGUGCGCACAUGCAUGCACACACUCAUAUG
This 81-nucleotide microRNA precursor is filed under the name Pelodiscus sinensis (Chinese soft-shelled turtle). Its description in RNAcentral is "miRNA (ENSPSIG00000020192.1)". Lineage: Eukaryota; Metazoa; Chordata; Testudines; Trionychidae. The record is from RNAcentral.